Long non-coding RNA from Equus caballus (horse), 397 nucleotides. RefSeq lists it as uncharacterized. The record is from RefSeq and is a predicted model, not a curated record. Lineage: Eukaryota; Metazoa; Chordata; Mammalia; Perissodactyla; Equidae.
CAGUGGUUUCUAUGGUUGCCACCAACAACGAAGCAUAAAUCCAUUCCCAGGUGGGUGGGGCUGUCCUCUCCUUUUCUGGCUCAGAACCCAGCAGAGCUUCCUGGCCUAUAGCAGAGAAGCCUGUGAGGAAGCCAGAGCAGGAAAUGCCAAUCUAUUCGAACACGGGGAGACUAAGGCUUAUGGAAGUUGACUAACAUAACCCAGGUCAAAACUGGGGCAAAGUCUAGACCUUGAGGCUCAUAGUCCAGUACUUUUUCUGCUAAAUCGAUGUUUCUCAAACUUUGGCAUCCAUGGACCGUUUUAAUGGAUGUCUGGUACACACAAAGUGCCAGAAGUCUUAAUGAAUUUUAAAUUGUUACAAAUUUUAAAAUAAUGUAAUAAAACAUUGAAAAAGUAA